AACUGGAUAGCCUAGUGCUCAAAGGCAGUGCUUCUAGAAAUGGUAUGGUCCCAGGUUUGAAUCCUGGUCUAGUCA
RNAcentral lists this transfer RNA (75 nucleotides) under Cronartium comandrae C4. RNAcentral's name for it is "tRNA-Ser (AGA) (tRNA-Ser-AGA-13-1)". It matches the Rfam family "tRNA". From Rfam's summary of the family: Transfer RNA (tRNA) molecules are approximately 80 nucleotides in length. Their secondary structure includes four short double-helical elements and three loops (D, anti-codon, and T loops). Lineage: Eukaryota; Fungi; Basidiomycota; Pucciniomycetes; Pucciniales; Coleosporiaceae. The record is from RNAcentral.